This 106-nucleotide small nuclear RNA is filed under the name Ailuropoda melanoleuca (giant panda). The record is from RNAcentral. Lineage: Eukaryota; Metazoa; Chordata; Mammalia; Carnivora; Ursidae.
GGGCCUGCUUUGCAGCACAUAUACUAAAACUGGGAUGAUACAGAGAAGAUUAGCAUGUCCCCUGCACAGGGAUGACACACAAAUUUGCAAAGCAUUCCAUACUUAU